Molecule: small RNA, 29 nt
Filed under: Bombyx mori (domestic silkworm)
Lineage: Eukaryota; Metazoa; Arthropoda; Insecta; Lepidoptera; Bombycidae
Description: ovarian small RNA-28040
Source: RNAcentral
UCCUUGAACCAUUAAUUGUUCCAAAGAGC